AAUUAACAAAAGAAUGUGCCUAUUUAUAGGCUUACAAGUGAAUCAAAGAAGAUCUAAAAAUACUCCUAAAAAUCUUCAAUCCUAAUAACAGAAAUAUCAAAUUCUAUGCAGAAUAUCUGCACUAAAUAAAAUUGAAAUCUCAACAGAUUUUUCAUAAUAUUAUUUUGAAUUAAUCCUAACAUUCUCUCUUAAUUCAAACAUAAUAUUUUUAUUACAAUAAUUAACAAUUAAAAUUUUUAAUCUAGCAUUUGAAGCACUUCCCUUCAAUUAACUUUGUUGAAGCACCUCUCUCCAACUCAUCAUUUUGAUGCACUUCUCACCAAAUAUUGAUACACUUCUCAUCAAACUAGCAAUUUUUUUUUUUUUUUGAAGCACUUCUCUUCAAAUAUUGAUGCACUUCUCAUCACUUUCUUUUAUUUUGGAGCACAUCUCUCCAAUGUUCUCUUGGAGCACUUCUCUCCAAUUUUCU
RNAcentral lists this long non-coding RNA (469 nucleotides) under Jatropha curcas. RNAcentral's name for it is "long non-coding RNA (JCUR_LNC001896)". The record is from RNAcentral. Lineage: Eukaryota; Viridiplantae; Streptophyta; Magnoliopsida; Malpighiales; Euphorbiaceae.